Molecule: ribosomal RNA, 485 nt
Filed under: uncultured bacterium
Lineage: Bacteria
Description: bacterial SSU rRNA
Rfam family: Bacterial small subunit ribosomal RNA
Source: RNAcentral
UUGAUCCUGGCUCAGGAUGAACGCUGGCGGCGCGCCUAACACGAUGCAAGUCGACGGUUAAGGCGCCUUCGGGCGCAUAUAAAGUGGCGAACGGCUGAGUAACACGUGGGCAACCUGCCCCUCGCACCGGGGACAGCCUCGGGAAACCGUGGAUGAUACCGGAUACUCCCGCCUCCCCGCGAUGGGAGGGCGGGAAAGCCCAGACGGCGAGGGAUGGGCCCGCGGCCUGUUAGCUAGUUGGCGGGGCAGCGGCCCACCAAGGCGAUGAUGGGUAGCCGGGUUGAGAGACCGACCGGCCAGAUUGGGACUGAGACACGGCCCAGACUCCUACGGGAGGCAGCAGUGGGGAAUCUUGCACAAUGGGCGGAAGCCUGAUGCAGCGACGCCGCGUGCGGGACGAAGGCCUUCGGGCUGUAAACUGCUUUCAGCAGGGACGAGGCGAAAGUGACGGUACCUGCAGAAGAAGCCCCGGCUAACUACGUGCC